UUAAACCCAUUAGGCCUCGUCGAGCUCGACCAACUAGCCGCUGCCAUCCGUCCCGACACCGCCCUCGUCUCUGUCAUGGCCGUCAACAAUGAGAUUGGCGUCGUCCAUCCCCUGGAGGAGAUCGAUCGCAUCUGCCACGAGAAGGGCGUUGUCUUCCACGCCGACGCCGACGCCGCCCAAGCCCUUGGGAAAAUCCCCAUCGAUGUCGAGAAGAUGGGAUCGGGCUCAUGUCGCUUAGCGGGCACAGAAUCUACGGCCCUAGGGGCGUAGGCGCCCUCUACAUUCGCCGACGUCCCCGCGUUCGGGGUGAGCCUCGGAUGAGCGACGGCGGGCAGGAGAGAGGCAUCCGGUGCGGGACCGUCCCCACCCCUCAAACCGUCGGGAUGGGUGCCGCAUGCGAGAUCACGAAGAAGGAGAUGCAAUACGAUAGCCGUCGCAUCUCGUCGCUGAUGUGAAUGGGAGCCGUUCACGUCACUUCGGCGCGUGAUAUCAUCUGGAAGAAGACGCACUCAUUGCGCUCGUUCGUGCCAAAACUACCCUCGUGUUGAUUCGAUGAAUGGUGGUGCCCGCUCUGUGCGGCACCCGUAUAGUUGCUUCUCGGUGGGCAAGCGGCUCAUACUGCAAGCGUGCUCAGGGCAAGCCUCUUGCGCUCCAGGUCACGGUUGCGUGAUUAGUUUCCGUUGAUCUCGUUUUGAAGGGCUUAUGAUAUCACUCCCGUCUCCUCUCCUGCAAUCUCCGAGACGAUCGGACGGUGCAGUCUCUGUAAAGAUGCCAUUUUGGAGUGGGCUUAGGCAUCGAUUUUGAGAUCACAUAACAAUGCCGUCAUCGAUUUUGUGUUCCAUUUACUUCCCUUCCAGCGGCAAAUUUUGCUCUUUGUUCUCUUUGUCCCUGGUUACUGAAUCUGAGUUAGCAUUGGGGAGAAACAAAUCCCUAAUGCUUCCGUGUUUUUAAUAUGGCGUACAUGCCAGUGAAGUGGAAAUCGCUGCCGCCAGCAGAUGGUAUCAGACGCUUCCGGUGCUCCUGAGCAGCAAAACGGCACUCCACACCUUUAGGCGGAUAAUGUGGGUGCUUAUGGAUCAUCGGCAACUGAGUCGGAAAAUGGGAUUUACUUGCAUGGCCGACAAGUGACAAAAGCCUUCCACGACCACCUAAUGCAUGGAAACUGGACAAAAGGCUCCACUCUUAGUACCAUUCUUAUGUUCUUCAGGAUACUCGCUUUGUGUCACACACCAAUUCCUGAUCUAAACGAGGAAACAGGUGGUUUCGCCAGUGAAGCUGUCACCAGAUGAAGGAGCAUUUCUUGUCGCAGCCAGGAAAUCUGUAAGAGGGCCCAAUCUGGCAUAUACAUUAGGCAGAAGUAUUUUUCUUCUGCGAACACUGUGGAGAGGUCAUAACUCAAUCUAUAUAUUGAAGUCAGUAAGUUAUCAUUUAUCUCUGUUGUAGACUCCUGGUGUCUUAAUCAUUUCGUGCGUUACGGGGAAUUCAAGAUUCUUAAUCUAUUGGCAUUCGACAGCAAAAGGAAGAGAAUUCUGUAAUCGUGCAUGAUGAGAGUGAGCAGGUUAUUCUUCUUUGCAAUGGUGAUGACAGGUAUGUCUGACUAACCCUGUCCGGGUGAUACUGUUUUGAUUGUUGAUGCAUCUGUAUCAUGCAAUGAAACACAUUUAUUGAUGUUCUCAAAUCAUUUAACGUAAGUGGAUUGAAUAUGGAUUUAAUUAUUUUGCAUCUUAAAUGCUUCAGCCUAUUUUUUUCUUGAGUAUUGUCAUCUUUGGUAGACUGUCAAAAAUGUGGAUGAUCGUAUGAGAGUGGUACAAGCAAGCAUCUAAAUGAAUAUGGGGAAGCAGGCUUGCAGAUAUUAGCAGUCAAUACAGAGUAUGCCUCUUUGGUCUUUCACAUAACUCAUAAUGUAUCAUUACUGAUGUGUGGAAUAUCGAUUAUGAUUACACAUGAAUGUUGUAUAGAGCACCAUUUUCUUUCCAGAUGUGAUUGCAGUUUACUUAGCAAGGUAUGAAACAAAUAUGUUUUAACCAUUGUCUGAGAGUGACAAAGUUGGAUGCUUGUGGAAACUCGAGUAUUACUCAAGUUCCAACAUUUUUGAGAUGUUAGGGCCAUACUUAGCUUGGCCUGGAUGGCUAGUGAUUUCUCCAUUUCCGCCAAUUCAGAUUCCUUGAACAACUUAUUGUUGUACAGGUCCACUGGUGCUAUAAGAGGAUAGCACUUACGGUGAGAACUAAGGAAUAAUCAACAUGUGCUUUUGCAGUUAUGAUGUUCUACCCUUUUUUCUAUCUAGAUAUUUUGGAUCAUUUUUAGAUUUGCUACUUUUUUUUAUGAAAAAGCAUUUGAGCUGACAACAUUCUACUUUGAAGCAUAUGCUGGCUUCUCAGGGCAGUCGGCAUAUGAUGACUAGCACAUUCUCCUAUUAACAUCGUUCUAGCAUAGUUGUCGAUUGACAUGGCAAUGGGAGUCUUCGAGCAAGAUGUUUCUCCUGAAGUAUGCUUGCAGCAAUUAUGCUCUUGGUUAUGUCUGAUACAAUAACAGCCACUUCUUCUGUAGCUCCCAGGAAGGGCCAAGGAAUCUGUUUACUGGUUGGUAUAGGAUCAUCAGUUGGGUGUUCAAUGGUCUUUGUGCAUCCAUUGUCAUAUAUUUUGUCAACAUCAGGAUUUUCUACAAUAGGGCAUUCCGCAUAGGCAGCCAGACUGCGGAUUUGAUUGCCCCUGGAACCUCCAUGUUCACUUGCAUUUUACAUGGAUUCAGCAUCUCUUUGUGUGGGGCAGUAUUGCUAAAUUGUACCUCUUCUUCAUUGGCUGAGGAAUGUCUUCACCAACAAUAUCCAAGAAAGACUAGCAGUUACUAGUAACUGGAAGUCCUUGGACCAGCACUUAUUUAUUGGGCUGUAACAUUUUUGGUUGUUGCAAUCUGCAAUGCUUAAUAUCUGGUCCACAUGACCUUCCAGAGGGCCUUCAAUCCACUGGUCAACCAUGUGAUCCAAGAAAUCAAAUACUACAAGAAGGAUGUGGAGGGCCAGCAUAUGUGGAAGAGAGGGAAGUCUAAAGCAAGGCAGAAGAUUAUGAUUGGUUUUACCGCAAGGAUGGAUGGCAACAUCAGACAGCUAAGAAGGAAGUCUCAUAGGAAAGUCAAGGACAAACCCAGUAGACGGGCUCCCACCAAUGAGGGGCCUGGGAAGAGUCAAUAGCAACCUUACCAAUAUAUUUAGGAAGUAUCACAUGAAAGUCUCAUACUAUAUCAUUAAGCGGCAGCUUCAUGGAAAUAGUUGAGGUAUGUGUACAUCGAGCAGUAGAUUUAUACCCUGUCAUUUAUUUCAGAGCACUUUUUGCAGGCUUAAUAUGGUGCUACAUCAUCCAUAUUCAUAUAAUGCGGAGGAAAUCAAGCAGAAUUCUGUAGAUUAUGCAGGAGAAAGCUUGUUUCAAGAUGACCAUUUUUUAUUAAAAGAAUAUUAUGGAUCAAGGUCAUGAAGUAAAUGCCUCCAACAUGUGACCCCAGCGGCCUGCUAACCUCAACUGCAGGUAACCAAACAUGCCCCAAUAUCUCCUCUUGCUGCAUUAUUGUUAUGCAUGCAUGCAUGCAAGCUCGACCAGCAUGGCUGAUCGGUAUCGUAGACGACGAAAAUUCACGUUCAGAGAGAAUUUUUUGCUUGUACUAAUAUGUUCCUCAAACAGUACUCAGGAUGCCCUUAUAUAAGUUCUAAAGGCAUUCUUUUGGGAACAUAACAUGUACCAAUCUUUGGAUUCCAACAAGUCACCUCCAAAUUUCUUGUA
Musa acuminata AAA Group (dessert banana) is the source of this 3773-nucleotide long non-coding RNA. RefSeq lists it as uncharacterized. The transcript is spliced from 4 exons. NCBI's taxonomy places the organism in Eukaryota, Viridiplantae, Streptophyta, Magnoliopsida, Zingiberales, Musaceae. The record is from RefSeq and is a predicted model, not a curated record.